This is a long non-coding RNA of Homo sapiens (human), 1626 nucleotides long. Ensembl annotates it as SBDS pseudogene 1. Its record names the gene SBDSP1. The record is from Ensembl. NCBI's taxonomy places the organism in Eukaryota, Metazoa, Chordata, Mammalia, Primates, Hominidae.
CUGCGCAGUAAGUAAGCCUGCCAGACACGCUGUGGCGGCUGCCUGAAGCUAGUGAGUCGCGGCGCCGCGCACUUGUGGUUGGGUCAGUGCCGCGCGCCGCUCGGUCGUUACCGCGAGGCGCUGGUGGCCUUCAGGCUGGACGGCGCGGGUCAGCCCUGGUUUGCCGGCUUCUGGGUCUUUGAACAGCCGCGAUGUCGAUCUUCACCCCCACCAACCAGAUCCGCCUAACCAAUGUGGCCGUGGUACGGAUGAAGCGCGCCAGGAAGCGCUUCGAAAUCGCCUGCUACAAAAACAAGGUCGUCGGCUGGCGGAGCGGCUUGGAAAAAGACCUUGAUGAAGUUCUGCAGACCCACUCAGUGUUUGUAAAUGUUUCCUAAGGUCAGGUUGCCAAGAAGGAAGAUCUCAUCAGUGCGUUUGGAACAGAUGACCAAACUGAAAUCUAUUUUGACUAAAGGAGAAGUUCAAGUAUCAGAUAAAGACACACACAACUGGAGCAGAUGUUUAGGGACAUUGCAAUUAUUGUGGCAGACAAAUGUGUGACUCCUGAAACAAAGAGACCAUACACCGUGAUCCUUAUUGAGAGAGCCAUGAAGGACAUCCACUAUUUGGUGAAAACCAACAGGAGUACAAAACAGCAGGCUUUGGAAGUGAUAAAGCAGUUAAAAGAGAAAAUGAAGAUAGAACGUGCUCACAUGAGGCUUCAGUUCAUCCUUCCAGUGAAUGAAGGCAAGAAGCUGAAAGAAAAGCUCAAGCCACUGAUCAAGGUCAUAGAAAGUAAAGAUUAUGGCCAACAGUUAGAAAUCGUAUGUCUGAUUGACCUGGGCUGCUUCCGAGAAAUUGAUGAGCUAAUAAAAAAGGAAACCAAAGGCAAAGGUUCUUUGGAAGUACUCAAUCUGAAAGAUUUGAAGAAGGAGAUGAGAAAUUUGAAUGACACCCAUCAGUCUCUUCACCUCUAAAACACUAAAGUGUUUUCGUUUCCAACAGCACUGUUUCAUGUCUGUGGUCUGCCAAAUACUUGCUCAAACUAUUUGACAUUUUCUAUCUUUGUGUUAACAGUGGACACAGCAAGGCUUUCCUACAUAAGUAUAAUAAUGUGGGAAUGAUUUGGUUUUAAUUAUAAACUGGGGUCUAAAUCCUAAAGCAAAAUUGAAACUCCAGGAUGCAAAAUCCAGAGUGGCAUUUUGCUACUCUGUCUCAUGCCUUGAUAGCUUUCCAAAAUGAAAGUUACUUGAGGCAGCUCUUGUGGGUGAAAAGUUUUUUGUACAGUAGAGUAAGAUUAUUAGGGGUAUGUCUAUACGACAAAAGGGGGGUCUUUCCUAAAAAAGAAAACAUGAUGCUUCAUUUCUACUUAAUGGAACUUGUGUUCUGAGGGUCAUUAUGGUAUCGUAAUAUAAAGCUUGGAUGAUGUUCCUGAUUAUCUGAGAAACAGAUAUAGAAAAAUUGUGUCGGACUUAAAUAAUUUUCGUUGAACAUGCUGCCAUAACUUAGAUUAUUCUUGGUUAAAAAAUAAAAGUCACUUAUUUCUAAUUCUUAAAGUUUAUAAUAUAUAUUAAUAUAGCUAAAAUUGUAUGUAAUCAAUAAAACCACUCUUAUGUUUAUUAAACUAUGGCUUGUGUUUCUAGACAA